CUGAUUGAUGGCAUGGCAACUAGAUGACAUGAAGUUCUGAGGGGCAGAGUACUAACAGAACUUCAUGCCUCUUUUCAGUUUCACUGUAUCUAGCUGCGCCUCCUUAGGCUGGUAGUGAUUCUACUCCAAUCAAUUAUGCACAGCAUUAUUGGAAUUGAUUUUCUAAACAGAAUCUAAUCAAGCAACCCCAGCUCAGAAGCUGCCAGAGAUUGUCCACUGAUGUGAGAGCAAACCCCAGCUCUUCUGAAGAGCCCUGGUAGGUCUGUGGAGACACCCCCAACCUGCCUUGAGGACCUUAUCUCAGAUGUCCAUUUUCGCUAUCUAUUGAGAAUUCCAUACAUGCAUAUAUGAUGUUUUGAUUAGAUGCACUCCUUCCUGCUGCUGUGCUCAUGGGUGUGGGCUAUCUCCUGGAAGACAAGUGAUUAUCCUUCCUCUAGCAGCCAUUGAUUGACAAUGUAUCCCCAGGUCCGGGCUCAGAGAUCAUCACAGAAGAGAAGGGGCAGAAGGACAGGAAAAGGCAGAGCCAUUGGUGAUGACAGCCAUUCUCUCUUAAUGUCUGUAUAUUCCUAUCUAAAUACCAUUAGAUUUUAUCCUUCAUUAUUGUAUGCCUUCUGCUUUCAGUUAUGUUCUGCCCAAUGUAUAAACUUGAGCAAACUAAUUUUCCCCUGUCUAAUUAAGCCCAUUGUAAUAUUUCACUCGUUCAAGCAUCCUGUUCAAUGAAACAUUAUUUUCACUUAUCAGUGUUCUGUCAUGUGUUCCUAGUGGCUUCUAAUUGGGGACAAUUAGAAGAAGAUGAUAAAUGUAAACUCAGCAGUGGCAGUUGUCAUUACCAUAACCCUGCUCAGCCCCACAGGACUUCCUGUUUGUUUGAGACAACAGGGAACUCAGGAUCAGAUCAAGGCUUGAUGAAGCAGCAGUACAGGAAGCACAUAGCCCGAGAGGACAUCCUUCAUUUUAAUUUGUUAGUUUAAUAUGACUUGAGAGGAAAUCACAAAAUACUCCUUACCUGAGGUGUUUAAUGGUCCUAAUGAACCUAGUGGGUGGUGUUGACUUAGUUCUUACCCAACUCCUUGAGUCUACAGCCCUGAACAAAAUGUUGAAAUGAGCCAUCUGUGCAGA
This is a long non-coding RNA of Mesocricetus auratus (golden hamster), 1119 nucleotides long. RefSeq lists it as uncharacterized. Lineage: Eukaryota; Metazoa; Chordata; Mammalia; Rodentia; Cricetidae. The transcript is spliced from 3 exons. The record is from RefSeq and is a predicted model, not a curated record.